RNAcentral lists this non-coding RNA (24 nucleotides) under Mus musculus (house mouse). The record is from RNAcentral. Lineage: Eukaryota; Metazoa; Chordata; Mammalia; Rodentia; Muridae.
UGUAAGCCUGUUUAGUGAUGAAUG